ACUCCUACGGGAGGCAGCAGUGGGGAAUAUUGCACAAUGGGCGCAAGCCUGAUGCAGCCAUGCCGCGUGUAUGAAGAAGGCCUUCGGGUUGUAAAGUACUUUCAGCAGUGAGGAAGGCGGGUACGGUUAAUAGCGUGCUUGUUUGUACGUUAGCUGCAGAAGAAGCACCGGCUAACUCCGUGCCAGCAGCCGCGGUAAUACGGAGGGUGCGAGCGUUAAUCGGAAUUACUGGGCGUAAAGCGCAUGCAGGUUGGUUUGUUAAGUCAGAUGUGAAAGCCCGGGGCUCAACCUCGGAAUUGCAUUUGAAACUGGCAGACUAGAGUACUGUAGAGGGGGUAGAAUUUCAGGUGUAGCGGUGAAAUGCGUAGAGAUCUGAAGGAAUACCGGUGGCGAAGGCGGCCCCCGUGGACAGAUACUGACACUCAGAUGCGAAAGCGUGGGAGCAAACAGGAUUAGAUACCCCUGGUAGCGACUGA
RNAcentral lists this ribosomal RNA (476 nucleotides) under uncultured bacterium. RNAcentral's name for it is "bacterial SSU rRNA". It matches the Rfam family "Bacterial small subunit ribosomal RNA", at positions 335 to 803 of the family's 1533-position model. The record is from RNAcentral.